Long non-coding RNA from Hemiscyllium ocellatum (epaulette shark), 1244 nucleotides. RefSeq lists it as uncharacterized. The transcript is spliced from 5 exons. NCBI's taxonomy places the organism in Eukaryota, Metazoa, Chordata, Chondrichthyes, Orectolobiformes, Hemiscylliidae. The record is from RefSeq and is a predicted model, not a curated record.
GUUGCCCGGAAGUUGAAGUCGCGCAAAGUCAAUGGCAAUGAAGCUGAUUGCUUUAGAACUCCAUAUCGGCUUCACCUGCUGACUAGGAAAUGACCGUCUUACUUCAGUACUCAAGCAAGACCGUGCGGGAGAUGUAGACGUUUUCUCGCUAAAGUCUGGGAGUUUAAUUUUCUCGGGGCUGGAGCUGCUGUUCAAUCUUCUUUUUGAUUUGGGGACUCAGAAGUUUAUUCGUCAAAUAUCGGGCUUUUACAACAGCUUGUGUUACAAAGUGCCAACGAAAAAAAAGCAUCGUCUCCUGAGGCUAGGGGCAUUUUGUUUUAGAGAACAGUUUGAGAUUUAAGAAGCACAAAGGAAAAUCUCCCCCCCCCCCCCCCCCCGUUAACUUUUGAAUUCAAUAAGGUCACCUAAAGUAUUUUUUUAAACAAAAGACCAAAAGAUUUAUUUCACGAACGUUAUCUACAAGGUGAAGUUAUCAAUGCAUCGAAGCUGUGUCAUUUGAAUCCGAUGUGAUUAUGUACGAAAAGUGACUGAUAAGCGAGCUGUCCCUGGUCUGGACUUGUUCUUCCGUUGGACUGUCUGUGGUCAGCUCGAACCCACGGCCUGGACAAGGUCUGUUUGAUAAAUUGGUUGAGCACUUUGGGGAUUUCCCACAACUCCAUUUCGUCUGCUCGGAGAAGCUAGGAAAUCGACUUCUGAGUGAAGAUAAGGCACUCUUUGCUGGAUUUUAUUUUUGGAGGUGUAAGAUAUCAGUUGGGUGUUUGUAUGCAAUUGUUGGCUUCAUUCGAAGUGGUCGUACUUGAAAGAAGCUUCCUUGUUGUCAGCUGCUGUGGAGCCCCACAAAUUUAAUAAUUGCAGGAGGUCAUAAAGACACAGGUUCCGAAAUGUAUGGUUGGAUUUACUUGAGGGAGCUUUUAAGUUUGUUUGAAAAAAAAACACUAGUACAAUGAAAGUAGAGAUCUAGGAAGAAAUGUUACAACAAUGUUUGUACCUCAAAAGAACACCACUGACUGGAAAGUGCUUUGGAUUUUCCUUAUGUCAUAAAAGGCACUACGAGUUACACAGAUCGACAGCACAGAUAAAGGCCCUCGGCCCAUCAUGUCUGCAAAGGUCAAAAAUAACCACCGAACUAUUCUAAAAGCUAAUUUCUUACAAAAAGUAUUUGAAGAUUGUGGAAUGAUGACAGCCAGGUCAGGCGUGGUCUUGAGUGUUCAGUCAGGUGAUAUAAAUAAAUAAUUUCCAACUUG